This 478-nucleotide ribosomal RNA is filed under the name uncultured bacterium. RNAcentral's name for it is "partial 16S ribosomal RNA". It matches the Rfam family "Bacterial small subunit ribosomal RNA", at positions 28 to 523 of the family's 1533-position model. The record is from RNAcentral.
GACGAACGCUGGCGGCGUGCUUAACACAUGCAAGUCGAACGGUAAGGCCCUUCGGGGUACACGAGUGGCGAACAGGUGAGUAACACGUGGGUGAUCUGCCCUGCACUUCGGGAUAAGCCUGGGAAACUGGGUCUAAUACCGGAUAGGACCACUGCCUGCAUGGGUGGUGGUGGAAAGCUUUUGCGGUGUGGGAUGGGCCCGCGGCCUAUCAGCUUGUUGGUGGGGUGAUGGCCUACCAAGGCGACGACGGGUAGCCGGCCUGAGAGGGUGACCGGCCACACUGGGACUGAGAUACGGCCCAGACUCCUACGGGAGGCAGCAGUGGGGAAUAUUGCACAAUGGGCGCAAGCCCGAUGCAGCGACGCCGCGUGAGGGAUGACGGCCUUCGGGUUGUAAACCUCUCUCAGCACCGACGAAGCGCAAGUGACGGUAGGUGCAGAAGAAGGACCGGCCAACUACGUGCCAGCCGCCGCCGUAA